Molecule: transfer RNA, 86 nt
Filed under: Dactylellina haptotyla CBS 200.50
Lineage: Eukaryota; Fungi; Ascomycota; Orbiliomycetes; Orbiliales; Orbiliaceae
Rfam family: tRNA
About the family: Transfer RNA (tRNA) molecules are approximately 80 nucleotides in length. Their secondary structure includes four short double-helical elements and three loops (D, anti-codon, and T loops). Further hydrogen bonds mediate the characteristic L-shaped molecular structure. tRNAs have two regions of fundamental functional importance: the anti-codon, which is responsible for specific mRNA codon recognition, and the 3' end, to which the tRNAs corresponding amino acid is attached (by aminoacyl-tRNA synthetases). tRNAs cope with the degeneracy of the genetic code in two manners: having more than one tRNA (with a specific anti-codon) for a particular amino acid; and 'wobble' base-pairing, i.e. permitting non-standard base-pairing at the 3rd anti-codon position.
Source: Rfam by way of RNAcentral
GGUUGUAUGGUGUAGUGGUUAGCACUUCGGAUUCUGAUCUUCAUUAGAUACUUCCGGCGACUUGGGUUCAAUUCCCAAUACGACCU